CCUAAACCAAUCUUAAACAAACCCUAACCCUACCCCUAACCCAACCCUAACCCUACACUUACCCGAAGUCCUGAAGUGUUGAAGUGCCAAAGUUCCGAAUUUCAGAAUGCCGAAAUGAAUAUUUUCCCCAUGCACAUCCCUAAUCGAUUCCUUCUGACAUGUUCUGGGACUGCUCGGGCCUGACUUAGUUCUGGCAAGUCAGACAUAGUAGACAUGGCAGUAGGAAUAUCCAUUCCACGUCUUCCGGAAUACAUUUUACUGCAU
Non-coding RNA from Pelobates cultripes (western spadefoot toad), 264 nucleotides. The record is from the annotation of a GenBank genome assembly. NCBI's taxonomy places the organism in Eukaryota, Metazoa, Chordata, Amphibia, Anura, Pelobatidae.